RNAcentral lists this ribosomal RNA (450 nucleotides) under uncultured Glomeromycotina. Its description in RNAcentral is "SSU rRNA". It matches the Rfam family "Eukaryotic small subunit ribosomal RNA", at positions 569 to 1023 of the family's 1831-position model. The record is from RNAcentral. Lineage: Eukaryota; Fungi; Glomeromycota.
AGCAGCCGCGGUAAUUCCAGCUCCAAUAGCGUAUAUUAAAGUUGUUGCAGUUAAAAAGCUCGUAGUUGAAUUUCGGGAUCAAUUAAUUGGUCGUGCCUAUGGUACGUACUGUCGUCAUCGAUUUCUCCCUUCUGACGAACCAUGAUGUCAUUAAUUUGGUGUUAUGGGAAAUCAGGACUGUUACUUUGAAAAAAUUAGAGUGUUUAAAGCAGGCAUUAGCUUGAAUACAUUAGCAUGGAAUAAUGAAAUAGGACGUUCGAACCUAUUUUGUUGGUUUUUAGGAUCAACGUAAUGAUUAAUAGGGAUAGUUGGGGGCAUUAGUAUUCAAUUGUCAGAGGUGAAAUUCUUGGAUUUAUUGAAGACUAACUACUGCGAAAGCAUUUGCCAAGGAUGUUUUCAUUAAUCAAGAACGAAAGUUAGGGGAUCGAAGACGAUCAGAUACCGUCGUAG